GAGAACGUGCCCUUUUCUACGGAAUAGCCCAGGGAAACUUGGAUUAAUACCGUAUACGCCCUUCGGGGGAAAGAUUUAUCGGAGAAGGAUCGGCCCGCGUUGGAUUAGGUAGUUGGUGGGGUAAUGGCCUACCAAGCCGACGAUCCAUAGCUGGUUUGAGAGGAUGAUCAGCCACACUGGGACUGAGACACGGCCCAGACUCCUACGGGAGGCAGCAGUGGGGAAUCUUAGACAAUGGGGGCAACCCUGAUCUAGCCAUGCCGCGUGAGUGAUGAAGGCCCUAGGGUUGUAAAGCUCUUUCAGCUGGGAAGAUAAUGACGGUACCAGCAGAAGAAGCCCCGGCUAACUCCGUGCCAGCAGCCGCGGUAAUACGGAGGGGGCUAGCGUUGUUCGGAAUUACUGGGCGUAAAGCGCACGUAGGCGGAUUGGAAAGUUGGGGGUGAAAUCCCGGGGCUCAACCCCGGAACUGCCUCCAAAACUAUCAGUCUGGAGUUCGAGAGAGGUGAGUGGAAUUCCGAGUGUAGAGGUGAAAUUCGUAGAUAUUCGGAGAACACCAGUGGCGAAGGCGGCUCGCUGGCUCGAUACUGACGCUGAGGUGCGAAGGCGUGGGGAGCAAAGGGAUUAGAUACCCCUGUAGUC
This 639-nucleotide ribosomal RNA is filed under the name uncultured Paracoccus sp. RNAcentral describes it as "bacterial SSU rRNA". It matches the Rfam family "Bacterial small subunit ribosomal RNA", at positions 120 to 795 of the family's 1533-position model. Lineage: Bacteria; Pseudomonadati; Pseudomonadota; Alphaproteobacteria; Rhodobacterales; Paracoccaceae. The record is from RNAcentral.